GGUUGGUCCGAGUGCAGUGGUGUUUACAACUAAUUGAUCACAACCAGUUACAGAUUCCUUUGUUCCUUCUCCACUCCCACUGCUUCACUUGACUAGCCUUAA
This 102-nucleotide Y RNA is filed under the name Microcebus murinus (gray mouse lemur). RNAcentral describes it as "Y RNA (ENSMICG00000043053.1)". It matches the Rfam family "Y RNA". From Rfam's summary of the family: Y RNAs are components of the Ro ribonucleoprotein particle (Ro RNP), in association with Ro60 and La proteins. The Y RNAs and Ro60 and La proteins are well conserved, but the function of the Ro RNP is not known. In humans the RNA component can be one of four small RNAs -- hY1, hY3, hY4 and hY5. Lineage: Eukaryota; Metazoa; Chordata; Mammalia; Primates; Cheirogaleidae. The record is from Rfam by way of RNAcentral.